AGAGUUUGAUCAUGGCUCAGAGCGAACGCUGGCGGCAGGCUUAACACAUGCAAGUCGAGCGGGCGUAGCAAUACGUCAGCGGCAGACGGGUGAGUAACGCGUGGGAACAUACCUUUUGGUUCGGAACAACACAGGGAAACUUGUGCUAAUACCGGAUAAGCCCUUACGGGGAAAGAUUUAUCGCCGAAAGAUUGGCCCGCGUCUGAUUAGCUAGUUGGUGAGGUAAUGGCUCACCAAGGCGACGAUCAGUAGCUGGUCUGAGAGGAUGAUCAGCCACAUUGGGACUGAGACACGGCCCAAACUCCUACGGGAGGCAGCAGUGGGGAAUAUUGGACAAUGGGGGCAACCCUGAUCCAGCCAUGCCGCGUGAGUGAUGAAGGCCCUAGGGUUGUAAAGCUCUUUUGUGCGGGAAGAUAAUGACGGUACCGCAAGAAUAAGCCCCGGCUAACUUCGUGCCAGCAGCCGCGGUAAUACGAAGGGGGCUAGCGUUGCUCGGAAUCACUGGGCGUAAAGGGUGCGUAGGCGGGUCUUUAAGUCAGGGGUGAAAUCCUGGAGCUCAACUCCAGAACCGCCUUUGAUACUGAGGAUCUUGAGUCCGGGAGAGGUGAGUGGAACUGCGAGUGUAGAGGUGAAAUUCGUAGAUAUUCGCAAGAACACCAGUGGCGAAGGCGGCUCACUGGCCCGGUACUGACGCUGAGGCACGAAAGCGUGGGGAGCAAACAGGAUUAGAUACCCUAGUAGUCC
This 744-nucleotide ribosomal RNA is filed under the name uncultured bacterium. Its description in RNAcentral is "bacterial SSU rRNA". It matches the Rfam family "Bacterial small subunit ribosomal RNA", at positions 8 to 796 of the family's 1533-position model. The record is from RNAcentral.